GUGCUUGCUUCAGCAGCACAUGGGCUAAAAUUGGAACAAUAUAGAGAAGAUUAGCAUGGCCCCUGCUGAAGGAUGACAUGAAAAUUCAUGAAGUGUUCCAUAUUUUU
Otolemur garnettii (small-eared galago) is the source of this 107-nucleotide small nuclear RNA. NCBI's taxonomy places the organism in Eukaryota, Metazoa, Chordata, Mammalia, Primates, Galagidae. The record is from Ensembl.